AUGAACGCUGGCGGCGUGCCUCAUACCUGCAAGUCGAGCGCACAGACGAGGAGCUUGCUCCUCUGACGUUAGCGGCGGACGGGUGAGUAACACGUGGAUAACCUACCUGUAAGACUGGGAUAACUUCGGGAAACCGGAGCUAAUACCGGAUAAUAUAUUUAACCGCAUGGUUCAAUAGUGAAAGACGGUUUUGCUGUCACUUAUAGAUGGAUCCGCGCCGCAUUAGCUAGUUGGUAAGGUAACGGCUUACCAAGGCAACGAUGCGUAGCCGACCUGAGAGGGUGAUCGGCCACACUGGAACUGAGACACGGUCCAGACUCCUACGGGAGGCAGCAGUAGGGAAUCUUCCGCAAUGGGCGAAAGCUUGACGGAGCAACGCCGCGUGAGUGAUGAAGGUCUUCGGAUCGUAAAACUCUGUUAUUAGGGAAGAACAAAUGUGUAAGUAACUAUGCACGUCUUGACGGUACCUAAUCAGAAAGCCACGGCUAACUACGUG
This 496-nucleotide ribosomal RNA is filed under the name uncultured bacterium. RNAcentral's name for it is "partial 16S ribosomal RNA". It matches the Rfam family "Bacterial small subunit ribosomal RNA", at positions 29 to 507 of the family's 1533-position model. The record is from RNAcentral.